CCUACGGGAGGCAGCAGUGGGGAAUAUUGCACAAUGGGGGAAACCCUGAUGCAGCGACGCCGCGUGGAGGAAGAAGGUCUUCGGAUUGUAAACUCCUGUUGUUGAGGAAGAUAAUGACGGUACUCAACAAGGAAGUGACGGCUAACUACGUGCCAGCAGCCGCGGUAAAACGUAGGUCACAAGCGUUGUCCGGAAUUACUGGGUGUAAAGGGAGCGCAGGCGGGAAGACAAGUUGGAAGUGAAAUCCAUGGGCUCAACCCAUGAACUGCUUUCAAAACUGUUUUUCUUGAGUAGUGCAGAGGUAGGCGGAAUUCCCGGUGUAGCGGUGGAAUGCGUAGAUAUCGGGAGGAACACCAGUGGCGAAGGCGGCCUACUGGGCACCAACUGACGCUGAGGCUCGAAAGUGUGGGUAGCAAACAGGAUUAGAUACCCCAGUAGUC
RNAcentral lists this ribosomal RNA (440 nucleotides) under uncultured Faecalibacterium sp. Its description in RNAcentral is "bacterial SSU rRNA". It matches the Rfam family "Bacterial small subunit ribosomal RNA", at positions 338 to 795 of the family's 1533-position model. Lineage: Bacteria; Bacillati; Bacillota; Clostridia; Eubacteriales; Oscillospiraceae. The record is from RNAcentral.